AACGAACGCUGGCGGUAUGCUUAACACAUGCAAGUCGAACGAACAAAAUUGGGGCUUGCUCCAAUUUUAGUGAGUGGCAAACGGGUGAGCAACACGUGAGAAUCUACCCUUUAGUGAAGAAUACCCUCGAGAAAUCGAGGCUAAUACUGCAUACGUCCCUUCGGGGAGAAAGAUGGCUUUAUGCUGUCGCUAAAGGAUGAGCUUGCGGACUAUUAGCUAGUUGGUAGGGUAAUGGCUACCAAGGCGAUGAUGGUUAGCCGGCCUGAGAGGGUGAACGGCCACAUUGGAACUGAGAUACGGUCCAGACUCCUACGGGAGGCAGCAGUGGGGAAUAUUGCGCAAUGGGCGAAAGCCUGACGCAGCGACGCCGCGUGGAGGAUGAAGGUCUUCGGAUUGUAAACUUCUGUUAAGUGGGAAGAAAGUCUAUUUUAAAUAGAGAUAGAAAAUGACGGUACCACUAGAGAAAGCACUGGCU
Molecule: ribosomal RNA, 475 nt
Filed under: uncultured bacterium
Lineage: Bacteria
Description: bacterial SSU rRNA
Rfam family: Bacterial small subunit ribosomal RNA
Source: RNAcentral